AGUGAACGCUGGCGGUAGGCCUAACACAUGCAAGUCGAACGGCAGCACAGGAGAGCUUGCUCUCUGGGUGGCGAGUGGCGGACGGGUGAGGGAUACAUCGGAAUCUACUUUUUCGUGGGGGAUAACGUAGGGACACUUACGCUAAUACCGCAUACGACCUACGGGUGAAAGCAGGGGACCUUCGGGUCUUGCGCGAUUGAAGUAGCCGCUGUCGGAUUAGCUAGUUGGCGGGGUAAAGGCCCACCAAGGCGACGAUCCGUAGCUGGUCUGAGAGGAUGAUCAGCCACACUGGAACUGAGACACGGUCCAGACUCCUACGGGAGGCAGCAGUGGGGAAUAUUGGACAAUGGGCGCAAGCCUGAUCCAGCCAUACCGCGUGGGUGAAGAAGGCCUUCGGGUUGUAAAGCCCUUUUGUUGGGAAAGAAAUCCAGCUGGCUAAUACCCGGUUGGGAUGACGGUACCCAAAGAAUAAGCACCGGCUAACUUCGUGCCAGCCGCCGCCGUAA
RNAcentral lists this ribosomal RNA (506 nucleotides) under uncultured bacterium. RNAcentral describes it as "partial 16S ribosomal RNA". It matches the Rfam family "Bacterial small subunit ribosomal RNA", at positions 29 to 523 of the family's 1533-position model. The record is from RNAcentral.